RNAcentral lists this microRNA precursor (171 nucleotides) under Triticum urartu. RNAcentral describes it as "mir-172 microRNA precursor family". It matches the Rfam family "mir-172 microRNA precursor family". Rfam says of the family: mir-172 has been experimentally verified in Arabidopsis thaliana. This family is thought to target mRNAs coding for APETALA2-like transcription factors. The mature sequence is excised from the 3' arm of the hairpin. The record is from Rfam by way of RNAcentral. Lineage: Eukaryota; Viridiplantae; Streptophyta; Magnoliopsida; Poales; Poaceae.
GUGUUUGCGGGCGUGGUAUCAUCAAGAUUCACAUCCAUCCAUGCAUCUCUCUCUCUCUCUCUCUCUCUCUCUCUCUCUGCCAAGCAGUUUGUUUGUUUCCAAAUGAGAUAUAUAGAUGCAUAUAGAACAUACUUUGGAUGAGAAUCUUGAUGAUGCUGCAUCCGCACACAA